AGCUCCAAUAGCGUAUAUUAAAGUUGUUGCGGUUAAAAAGCUCGUAGUUGGAUUUCUGUUGAAGUCAGCCGGUGCACACCUCGUGUGUUAUUUGGCCUGGCUUUGGCAUCCUCUGGGGGAACGUUUCUGGACUUAAUUGGACAGGGCGAGAUUCCAGACUUUUACUUUGAGGAAAUUAGAGUGUUUCAAGCAGGCACACGCCUUGAAUACAUUAGCAUGGAAUAAUAAGAUAGGACCUUGGUUCUAUUUUGUUGGUUUCUAGAGCUGAGGUAAUGAUUAAUAGGGAUAGUUGGGGGCAUUCGUAUUUAACUGUCAGAGGUGAAAUUCUUGGAUUUGUUA
This 339-nucleotide ribosomal RNA is filed under the name uncultured eukaryote. RNAcentral's name for it is "SSU rRNA". It matches the Rfam family "Eukaryotic small subunit ribosomal RNA", at positions 587 to 931 of the family's 1831-position model. The record is from RNAcentral.